RNAcentral lists this ribosomal RNA (489 nucleotides) under uncultured bacterium. RNAcentral's name for it is "partial 16S ribosomal RNA". It matches the Rfam family "Bacterial small subunit ribosomal RNA", at positions 28 to 507 of the family's 1533-position model. The record is from RNAcentral.
GACGAACGCUGGCGGCGUGCUUAACACAUGCAAGUCGAACGGUGAAGGGACCAGCUUGCUGGUUCUGGAUGAGUGGCGAACGGGUGAGUAACACGUGAGUAACCUGCCCCCUUCUUCUGGAUAACCGCAUGAAAGUGUGGCUAAUACGGGAUAUUCUGGGUCUGUCGCAUGGCGGGCCCGGGAAAGAUAUUGCUUCGGUGGGGGAUGGGCUCGCGGCCUAUCAGCUUGUUGGUGGGGUGAUGGCCUACCAAGGCGGUGACGGGUAGCCGGCCUGAGAGGGUGGACGGUCACACUGGGACUGAGACACGGCCCAGACUCCUACGGGAGGCAGCAGUGGGGAAUAUUGCACAAUGGGCGCAAGCCUGAUGCAGCGACGCCGCGUGAGGGAUUGAGGCCUUCGGGUUGUAAACCUCUUUCGCCAGUGAAGCAGGCCUGCUCCUUGUGGGUGGGUUGACGGUAGCUGGAUAAGAAGCGCCGGCUAACUACGUG